Molecule: ribosomal RNA, 495 nt
Filed under: uncultured bacterium
Lineage: Bacteria
Description: bacterial SSU rRNA
Rfam family: Bacterial small subunit ribosomal RNA
Source: RNAcentral
AGUGAACGCUGGCGGCAGGCCUAACACAUGCAAGUCGAGCGGCAGCGCGUCCGACCACCCUCGGGUGGUCGGAUGGCGGCGAGCGGCGGACGGGUGAGGAAUGCAUCGGAAUCUGCCUCGUUGUGGGGGAUAACGUAGGGAAACUUACGCUAAUACCGCAUACGACCUACGGGUGAAAGUGGGGGACCUUCGGGCCUCACGCGAUGAGAUGAGCCGAUGCCGGAUUAGCUAGUUGGCGGGGUAAAGGCCCACCAAGGCGACGAUCCGUAGCUGGUCUGAGAGGAUGAUCAGCCACACUGGCACUGAGAUACGGGCCAGACUCCUACGGGAGGCAGCAGUGAGGAAUAUUGCGCAAUGGGCGAAAGCCUGACGCAGCGACGCCGCGUGGGGGAUGAAGGUUUUCGGAUUGUAAACCCCUUUCAUGAGGAAAGAUAAAGUGGGUAACCACUUAGACGGUACCUCAAGAAGAAGCCACGGCUAACUUCGUGCCAGCAG